AUGUCGUUGCCACCGGUGGACCCGCCGGAGUGGCUGCGCACACUACCCGUGGCGCCGGAGUACCGCCCCACCCUCGCCGAGUUCGCUGACCCCAUCGCCUAUAUCCUCAAGAUCGAGCCAGAGGCCUCUCGCUACGGCAUCUGCAAGAUCGUCCCCCCGCUCCCCUCGCCGCCCCGCGAGGCCACCGUUCAGCUCCUCAAGGCCUCGUUCGCCUCCAAUGCGUCCGCUUCCGGCGACGCUGGCCCCACCUUCCCGACGCGGCUCCAGCAGGUGGGCCUCUCCACAAAGAACCGUCGCGGCGCGAACCGUCGCGUCUGGGAGAGCGGCGAGCGCUACACCCUGGAGGCCUUCCGCACCAAGGCCCGCGACUUCGAACUCCCGAGGCACGCGAUACCCCCGAAGCACGCGACGCCCCUCCAGCUCGAGGCGCUCUUCUGGGGUGCUUGCGCUGCGAGGCCAUUCAAUGUCGAGUACGGCAACGACAUGCCGGGGUCUGGCUUCGUCAAACGGGAGGUGCUAGACCUGGACACUGACAGUCCGGUAGGGGCGCCCAGGGACGUCGGCGAGACGGAGUGGAACAUGAGGGUGGCUCCGCGCGCUCGGGGCUCGCUACUGCGGGCGAUGAGCCGGGACGUGGCUGGCGUCACAACGCCGAUGCUAUAUGUGGCGAUGCUCUACAGUUGGUUCGCGUGGCACGUGGAGGACCAUGAGCUGCAUAGCCUCAACUACCUCCACUUCGGCAAGCCCAAGACUUGGUACGGCGUGCCCCGAGAUGCCAUGCUUGCCUUCGAGGAUGCUGUCCGUGUCCAUGGGUAUGCGGACGACCUCAAUGCCAUCAUGGCCUUUCAAACUUUAAAUCAGAAGACGACCGUCUUGUCCCCUGAAGUGCUACUUUCUGCGGGAGUUCCUUGCUGCAGAUUGGUUCAGAACCCUGGAGAAUUUGUUAUCACCUUCCCUGGAGCUUAUCAUUGUGGUUUUAGCCAUGGAUUUAAUUGUGGGGAAGCAACAAAUAUUGCCACUCCUCUCUGGUUGCAGGUGGCCAAAGAAGCUGCAAUCCGGAGGGCUUCAACUAAUUGUGGUCCAAUGAUUUCUCAUUAUCAGCUGCUUUACGAGCUUGCAUUGUCAUUAAGUCAAAGGGAACCUAAGGAUUUCCAUACUCUUCCAAGAAGCUCUCGAUUAAGGGAUAAGAAGAAGAAGGAUGAAGGAGAUACAAUGGUGAAAGAAAAAUUUGUUGGAAGUGUGAUUGAAAAUAACAAUUUGCUUAGUAUCCUUCUGGAUAAGAGUUCUUGUAUAAUUGUUCCUGAGACUCCAUUUCCUCCUACAUCCUUUCCUACGAUGAUGGAACCUGAACUCACUGUUAAACAAAGUUUGACGGGUGGUCACUGUAGUAUUAGUCAGCAAGCAGUGCACAAUAUGUCUGUUGAUGUGGCACUAGACAAAAGUAUAGUAGUAGAGAACAUGAGUCACUCUCAGUCAGUUACUGAAGCAUCUUUAUCUGCAUACAACAGAAGAAAGCUUUAUGAAACAAAAUAUGGUGAACUUGGCACUGCUGCCUUCUGUUUAUCACCAUCCAAGUUGCAGAGUGGAGUAACUGAUAAAGAUAAGAGAGGUGGGCUCUUAGAUCAGGGGCGGUUGCCGUGCGUUCAGUGUGGCGUAUUAAGCUUUGCUUGUGUUGCCAUCAUUCAACCUAGAGAAGCGGCUGUCCAGUUUGUGUUGUCUAGAGAGGGCAUCUCAUCGAGUGCAAAACCGGGAGAAGUUAGUGAAUCAGAUGGUAUCUCAAAUUGGAUAACCAAAAAUAUUGAGAUGGUUCCUCAACAAGGACAAGCUUCGGAAGCACUUAGCGUAAGUUUAGCCCAUGUAUCUGAUCGGUGUGGACAACUAUACAGCAGGAACAAUAAUGGGUCAACCUCUGCUCUAGGGCUUCUAGCUUCUACUUACGGAUCAUCAGACUCUGAGGAGGAAUCAAACCAAGGCAAAGAUAAUCAGUUAUUGGAAACAUCAGUUAGCUUCUCAAGUACAGUUCAGCGUCAAAGAUCAAAUUCGCACUUGUAUGAAGAGUGUUGUGAAGCCAAAACCACAACUUCUUUGCUGAAAUCUAUAGAGGAUAAUAGUACGACAAUAACUCGAUGUGGUAGGGACACAGAUAUCAAUCAUUUAGCAAAGCUGAGAGAGCAAGGAACAACCUAUGAUCAGUGUUCUGUCUACAUUGAUUUGGCUAAUGAUCUAACCAUAUCAGGUGUAAAAGCCUAUUCAGAUACUCAUGUAACCACAGCUAAGUCCUCAAUUGAACCAGAUGUGUUGACCCAGCUCAAGUACAACAAUGAUUCUUGCAGAAUGCAUGUAUUUUGUCUAGAACAUGCUUUGGGGACAUGGACACAACUUCAAAAAAUUGGUGGUGCUAAUGUUAUGCUCUUGUGUCAUCCGGAAUAUCCUAGAGCAGAGUCAGCAGCAAAAUUCAUAGCAGAAGAACUUGGUUUGAAGCCUGAUUGGAAAGAUGUAGCUUUUGAAGAAGCAACUGAUGAUGACAUCAGAAGAAUUCAGUUGGCGUUGCAUGAUGAAGAUGCUGAACCUGCAAGCAGUGACUGGGCAGUUAAAAUGGGUAUCAAUAUAUACUACAGUGCAAAACAGAGCAAAUCCCCGCUUUACAGCAAGCAGAUACCAUACAAUUCCAUCAUUUAUGAGGCAUUUGGCCAAGAAAACCCAGACAAUUUGACAGAUUAUGGACGGCAAAGAUCAGGCGUGACAAAGAAAAGAGUGGCUGGAUGUUGGUGCGGGAAAGUUUGGAUGUCAAACCAAGUCCAUCCCUUUUUAGUUCGUGAGCAUGAAGAACACAAUCAUGCCAUAGUUUGCAGCAAAGUGAUGCUUGGUGCUAAUUACCAUGAGAUAGUAUACGAUGAACCAUCGCUUACAUGUAAUACAAUGGUUAACUGUAGCCCAUCAAAAAGGAUAUCCAGAAGGAAAGGAAGGGACUCUAUUGAAAAAUCUGGAGCCAGAAAGAAGAGAUGCUCCGCCAAUGACGAAGCCACUUUACAUUGCAGUAGCCUUGGGAUGAACUCUAAAACCAUCAGCGAUCAGCCUAGAAACUUCGAUGAUCAUGACAAACAUGAAGGAGGUAAAAUUACAGAAGCACCAAGCACUCAGCAAUAUCAACAAUAUACCUUGCAAAGCAUGAACAUGAAGUCAAGUUCUAACAAGCCAAAGGAUUAUAAAGGAAACCGCAAUUUUCUUGACCUUUAUGAUGAAGCUAAUGACGUGGACUGCUGGUUUAACAUAGAUUCUGGAGAUAGUACUGCAAUACGACACUUGGAAGACAGUCGACAACAAGAAUUUGGUACUGUGAAAGCUAAAUCUCCAGGUAAAUUGCAAGGUAAUAUGAGAAAAUCGAGCAAGUGCAAGGCGAGCGAUGAUUCUCUGAAUGGAGACAAGAAAGUGCAAAAGAUGAAUAAGAAAUCAAUUUCUAGGAAGCAAAAGGACGUCGAGAUAAACACACAGUUUCGAGAAGAAUACGAUGAAGAUAACAACUGGGAGGAAGUUCCAGAAGGAAAAGAUCAUGAUGUGAAAGUGGAAUCUAGAGCCAAAACACGAAGUGGUGAGGAUGAUAAAAGAAACAACAACUCCCAUGAACUAAAUGAUGAAUAUAAUGAUAUGGAUUGCUGGCAUGACAUACAUCGCGGAGAUAACGCCACAAUGGGAAACUUGGAUAACAGUCCAGUACAAAGACUUGAGGCUGCGGAAGUGAAAUCUGGUGGUAAAUUGCAUUGUUGUAAGAGAAAAUCCAGCAAGGGCAAGGCAAAGGAUAAUUACUCAAAUGGAGAUGAGAAAUUGCAAAUGCUGAACAUAGAAUCAAUCUCUAGGAAGCAAAAGAGUGAUAGCCAGUUUGAUGAAGGUUGCGGCAGAGAUAACGCUUUGGACUCUUUGCUUAAUGAUGUGGAUGAAGCCACACGAGAGAACUGUUAUGAAGUUCGGGAAGAAGAAAUGGAUGGCAUGGAAGUGAAGCCUAGAGGGAAGGUGCAAACUGGUAAGAGAAAAACCAGCAGAUGUCAAGCGGGUGAUAAAGCAGCAAAAUUUCCUUGUGAUAUAGAAGGGUGUGACAUGAGCUUCAGCUCACAGCAGGAUUUGUUGUUGCACAAGCGUGAUAUUUGUCCUGUUAAAGGAUGCAAGAAAAAGUUCUUCUGCCAUAAAUACCUGCUCCAGCACCGCAAAGUGCACAUGGAUGAAAGGCCACUCAAUUGUGAAUGGAAGGGCUGCAAGAAGACAUUCAAGUGGCCAUGGGCUAGGACAGAACACAUGAGGGUCCAUACGGGGGUGCGACCUUACGAAUGCAUGGUACCUGGCUGUGGUCAGACAUUCAGAUUUGUGUCGGAUUUCAGCCGCCACAAGAGAAAGACUGGCCAUUCCAGUGGUAAGAAAAAUAAGGAGAGUACAUAA
This 4428-nucleotide ribosomal RNA is filed under the name Triticum aestivum (bread wheat). Its description in RNAcentral is "partial small subunit ribosomal RNA". Lineage: Eukaryota; Viridiplantae; Streptophyta; Magnoliopsida; Poales; Poaceae. The record is from RNAcentral.